AAAAUAGACGAGACAGCUUUUUUUUCGGGAAAAUUCCCAAAAAGUCAAGCUACAUGAAAAUAUAUAACAACAAUGUCUUUAAAAUUUCGGGAUUGAUCCCGAAAAAUGAUUUUCAUAUGAAACAACAUUAACAAUGAUUCUGUUCACAUUUCAAUUCAGGAAAAAUCCCGCAACCAAAUGUUGAGGCAUAGACUUCUUAACACUUUAAAUUUACAGGCUAUAAGUCAUAUUUGAGGCAUUUAAAACAUUUUGGGAAAAUUCCCAAAUGAGCAAGUUACAUGAAAAAGUAUAACAAGAAUGUCUUCAAACUUUCGGGAUUUAUCCCGAAAAAAAUAUUUCACAUGAAACAACAAAUUUAAACUUUCGGGAUUUAUCCCGAAAAA
Molecule: long non-coding RNA, 383 nt
Filed under: Mytilus galloprovincialis (Mediterranean mussel)
Lineage: Eukaryota; Metazoa; Mollusca; Bivalvia; Mytilida; Mytilidae
Source: RNAcentral